Molecule: unclassified non-coding RNA, 156 nt
Filed under: soil metagenome
Description: partial internal transcribed spacer 1
Source: RNAcentral
ACGAGAUCAUGCCCUCACGGGUAGACCUCCCACCCUUGAAUACCACACCUUUGUUGCUUUGGCGGGCCGCUUCGGCCACCGGCUUAGGCUGGUGAGUGCCCGCCAGAGGACCCUAAACUCUGAAUUAUGUGUCGUCUGAGUACUAUACAAUAGUUA